UGACCUGCCCUGUACUUCGGGAUAAGCCUGGGAAACUGGGUCUAAUACCGGAUAUGACCUUCUCCUGCAUGGGGGUUGGUGGAAAGUUUUUGCGGUACAGGAUGGGCCCGCGGCCUAUCAGCUUGUUGGUGGGGUAAUGGCCUACCAAGGCGACGACGGGUAGCCGGCCUGAGAGGGCGACCGGCCACACUGGGACUGAGACACGGCCCAGACUCCUACGGGAGGCAGCAGUGGGGAAUAUUGCACAAUGGGCGAAAGCCUGAUGCAGCGACGCCGCGUGAGGGAUGACGGCCUUCGGGUUGUAAACCUCUUUCAGUAGGGACGAAGCGCAAGUGACGGUACCUACAGAAGAAGCACCGGCCAACUACGUGCCAGCAGCCGCGGUAAUACGUAGGGUGCGAGCGUUGUCCGGAUUUACUGGGCGUAAAGAGCUCGUAGGCGGUUUGUCACGUCGUCUGUGAAAACCCGAGGCUUAACCUCGGGCCUGCAGGCGAUACGGGCAGACUUGAGUACUGUAGGGGAGACUGGAAUUCCUGGUGUAGCGGUGGAAUGCGCAGAUAUCAGGAGGAACACCGGUGGCGAAGGCGGGUCUCUGGGCAGUAACUGACGCU
This 611-nucleotide ribosomal RNA is filed under the name Tsukamurella sp. RNAcentral describes it as "bacterial SSU rRNA". It matches the Rfam family "Bacterial small subunit ribosomal RNA", at positions 122 to 747 of the family's 1533-position model. The record is from RNAcentral. Lineage: Bacteria; Bacillati; Actinomycetota; Actinomycetes; Mycobacteriales; Tsukamurellaceae.